This 113-nucleotide ribosomal RNA is filed under the name Pteropus alecto (black flying fox). Lineage: Eukaryota; Metazoa; Chordata; Mammalia; Chiroptera; Pteropodidae. The record is from RNAcentral.
GUCUAUGGCCAUGCCACCUUGAACGUGCCCAAUCUCGUCUGAUCUCGGAUGCUAAGCAGGGUCGGGCCUGUUUAGUAUGAGAGACCGCCUAAGAAUACCAGGUGCUGUAGGCG